Molecule: small nuclear RNA, 29 nt
Filed under: Arabidopsis thaliana (thale cress)
Lineage: Eukaryota; Viridiplantae; Streptophyta; Magnoliopsida; Brassicales; Brassicaceae
Description: snRNA_11294
Source: RNAcentral
CAGGAAAUGGAUCUGCUUCUUGGUAAAAA